RNAcentral lists this ribosomal RNA (513 nucleotides) under uncultured bacterium. Its description in RNAcentral is "partial 16S ribosomal RNA". It matches the Rfam family "Bacterial small subunit ribosomal RNA", at positions 28 to 523 of the family's 1533-position model. The record is from RNAcentral.
GACGAACGCUGGCGGCAUGCCUAAUACAUGCAAGUCGAGCGAACGGAUGAAGUGCUUGCACUUCUGACGUUAGCGGCGAACGGGUGAGUAACACGUAAGGAAUCUACCUAUAAGCGGGGGAUAACAUUCGGAAACGGGUGCUAAUACCGCAUAAUAUCUUCUUCCGCAUGGAAGAAGAUUGAAAGACGGCUCUGCUGUCACUUAUAGAUGACCUUGCGGUGCAUUAGUUAGUUGGUGGGGUAAUGGCCUACCAAGACGAUGAUGCAUAGCCGACCUGAGAGGGUGAUCGGCCAAAUUGGGACUGAGACAUGGCCCAAACUCCUACGGGAGGCAGCAGUAGGGAAUCUUCCGCAAUGGGCGAAAGCCUGACGGAGCAAUGCCGCGUGAGUGAAGAAGGCCUUCGGGUCGUAAAACUCUGUUAUAAGAGAAGAACAAAUUGUAGAGUAACUGCUACAGUCUUGACGGUAUCUUAUCAGAAAGCCACGGCUAACUACGUGCCAGCAGCCGCAGUAA